This 776-nucleotide ribosomal RNA is filed under the name uncultured Neocallimastigales. RNAcentral's name for it is "partial large subunit ribosomal RNA". It matches the Rfam family "Eukaryotic large subunit ribosomal RNA", at positions 24 to 628 of the family's 3401-position model. The record is from RNAcentral. Lineage: Eukaryota; Fungi; Neocallimastigomycota; Neocallimastigomycetes; Neocallimastigales.
UAUGUGAUCGUCUCUCGCAUAUCAAUAAGCGGAGGAAAAGAAACUAACAAGGAUUCCCCUAGUAACGGCGAGUGAAGCGGGAAGAGCUCAAAUUUGAAAUCUUAAAGGGUUUCCCUUUACGAAUUGUAGUUUAGAGAAGUGUUUUCUGUUGAGGUUUUGGUAAAAGUUCUUUGGAAUAGGACAUCAUAGAGGGUGAGAAUCCCGUAUUUGACCUUUACUUUCAACUUUGUGAUACACUUUCAAAGAGUCGGAUUGUUUGGGAAUGCAGUCCAAAAUGGGUGGUAAAUUUCAUCUAAAGCUAAAUAUUGGCGAGAGACCGAUAGCGAACAAGUACCGUGAGGGAAAGAUGAAAAGAACUUUGAAAAGAGAGUUAAACAGUACGUGAAAUUGUCAAAAGGGAAGCGUUUGACACCAGUGUUGUUUUUCUGAAAAUCAAUUAAAGAACUGUUUAUGCUAAGCUUGUUUAGACUUUAUCAGCUAACUGUUUAGUUUUGAGCUUUUCUUUAAUGCACUUUUCAGUUAACAAGUCAACAUCAAUUUCUUUUGCUGUAAAAAAGCUUGAGGAAGGUGGCUUGAGAUUCGUCUUAAGUGUUUAUAGCCUCUUGCCUAUGCAGUCGGAGAGAUUGAGGUCUGCAGCGUAGAUCCUUCGGGGCUAAAUGCAUUUGUGCUAAGUUAUAGCAUUUUAUAGACAACUUGUUGACUAUGAUUUGUCUUGUAGCUUACUCGCUUAUGUUAUUUUACCUACGCUUAGGAUGUUGAUCUACAGAGCGAGAGUU